AGCAGCAGCGCGACGCAGCUCCCGGCAAGUUGUUUCCGAGCGUCGGUGAGUGAUUACAUCACGCCAUCGCUGGGCCGGCCCGCCGACAACAAGGGAGCCUGGCGGGAGUGUCGAGGACCAGGAUCGCGAGAGUCACCCGCUAGCGGUGCCGCCACGGCCACGACGAAGCAGCGUCGGCGACGGCAACUUCUCUACCUCCCUCGCAUCUGUGGCUUCGUUCAGCAGCAUGGUUUCGCUGCUGGAGGAGAACUCGACGACCAACUUCAGCGCGAACACGUACAACAGCCUCCACCGGCGCUGGAUGCGUUGCCAGGCAACCAGCCUCGAGUUCGGACUCGCGCUGAAGAAAGACAGCGAUGCGAACAGUCCAGAGGGACAUGCGGAGCCUCACACGCGCUCCAAGCUCGGCAUCGCCAUCCUCAUCAGCCUCCGCGACGACAACGACAACGACAGCAGCAGCAGCGGCGG
This is a long non-coding RNA of Priapulus caudatus, 468 nucleotides long. RefSeq lists it as uncharacterized. The record is from RefSeq and is a predicted model, not a curated record. The transcript has 4 exons. NCBI's taxonomy places the organism in Eukaryota, Metazoa, Priapulida, Priapulimorpha, Priapulimorphida, Priapulidae.